GGAUCAGACUGUAAAUCUGACGGCUCAGCCUUCGAAGGUUCGAAUCCUUCUCCCUCCACCA
This 61-nucleotide transfer RNA is filed under the name Shewanella sp. CG_4_9_14_0_8_um_filter_42_14. Its description in RNAcentral is "tRNA-OTHER". It matches the Rfam family "tRNA", at positions 23 to 71 of the family's 71-position model. From Rfam's summary of the family: Transfer RNA (tRNA) molecules are approximately 80 nucleotides in length. Their secondary structure includes four short double-helical elements and three loops (D, anti-codon, and T loops). The record is from RNAcentral. Lineage: Bacteria; Pseudomonadati; Pseudomonadota; Gammaproteobacteria; Alteromonadales; Shewanellaceae.